GCCCUUGUAAUAAUCAAAGGUGUAACCUGCCCAGUGGCUCAAAAAUAAAUAGUAAUAAAUAUACUAAAAAAGAGCUAAAAGGACGCAGUAUCUUGACUGUGGUAAUGUAGCAUAAUCACUUGCCACCUAAUUAGUGGAUAGUAUGAAUGGUUGAACGAAUAUUUCACUGUCUCCUCUUGAAAAUUCUUUAAAUUAAGAUAAUAGUAAAGACGCUAUUUAAUACUGUAAGACGAAAAGACCCUAUAGAGCUUAACUAUAAUCUACAUUAAAAAAUAAGAACAAAUAAUUCUAAUAUAUGUAGACUGGUAGUUUAGUUGGGGCGACUAUCUUCUAAAUAAAACGAAGACAAGCAAUGUUAAUAAAAAAACUUAUUGUAUAAUAAAUAUAUUUAACAAUUAUAAAAAUAGGCUAUAAUGACCCAUUAAGAUUUAAUAAUAAACUCAAUGAUCAAUAAAUAAAAGCUACCUUAGGGAUAACAGGAUAAUUUUGUUUUAGAGAUCCUAUCGAAAACAAAGUUUGUCACCUCUAUGUUGAAUUAAGAUAACCUAGUAAUGCAGAAGUUACUGAAGGUGGGUCUGUUCGACCCAUAAAAUCUU
Molecule: ribosomal RNA, 596 nt
Filed under: Bougainvillia multitentaculata
Lineage: Eukaryota; Metazoa; Cnidaria; Hydrozoa; Anthoathecata; Bougainvilliidae
Description: partial 16S ribosomal RNA
Rfam family: Bacterial large subunit ribosomal RNA
Source: RNAcentral